Molecule: ribosomal RNA, 234 nt
Filed under: uncultured bacterium
Lineage: Bacteria
Description: partial 16S ribosomal RNA
Rfam family: Bacterial small subunit ribosomal RNA
Source: RNAcentral
UGGGUGACUUGCCUCGAUGACUGGGACAACCCGGGGAAACCCGAGCUAAUACCGGAUGUGCUCCUCUCACAUACGUGAGUUGAGGAAAGGAAGCUUCGGCCUCCGCAUCGAGAUGGGCCCGCGGCCCAUUAGCUUGUUGGUGAGGUAACGGCUCGCCAAGGCUUCUAUGGGUAGCUGGUCUGAGAGGACGAUCAGCCACACUGGGACUGAGACACGGCCCAGAUCCGUACGGGG